This 74-nucleotide transfer RNA is filed under the name Candidatus Argoarchaeum ethanivorans. Its description in RNAcentral is "tRNA-Thr". It matches the Rfam family "tRNA". From Rfam's summary of the family: Transfer RNA (tRNA) molecules are approximately 80 nucleotides in length. Their secondary structure includes four short double-helical elements and three loops (D, anti-codon, and T loops). The record is from RNAcentral. Lineage: Archaea; Methanobacteriati; Methanobacteriota; Methanomicrobia; Methanosarcinales.
AGCCUCGGUAGCUUAGAGGUAUAGUGCAUCCUUGGUAAGGAUGAGGUCGAGGGUUCAAAUCCCUCCCGGGGCUU